Camellia sinensis is the source of this 858-nucleotide long non-coding RNA. RefSeq lists it as uncharacterized. The record is from RefSeq and is a predicted model, not a curated record. Lineage: Eukaryota; Viridiplantae; Streptophyta; Magnoliopsida; Ericales; Theaceae.
UCUCUCUCUUCACCCCCCACCCAAUCACUCUCUAUAUCUUCCUACACACAGAUAUCACUAUUAACGCCAGAGCUAAUAAUGCUUGCAAGAUUGGGCUAGGGUUUUGAGGUUACAUGUGGUCCGAUCACCAGCACUGGAGCCAACGUCCCCAAGCUUAGGUAUUCCAUCCAUGGUUAUUGUUUCAAAAACUGCUGGUGAUGUGGAGGACCUACGUGAUAGUCUAAAUGAUCUCUCUAAAUCAAAAGGGACUUUGUUAUCCAAAUUAAUGCCAGCUUGUGCUUGGAUUAAACCAAUUGAUGAUGCAAAGCAAAAGCAUGUGUUUGCAAGAGAGCUAGCAAAAAGGCUGAUAGGAAAAGAAAAUGAUUGGAUUGAUUACAUAAAUUGUGAAAAUUUACAUGUUUCUAUAGUGCACUGCUUUGGAGAUGCCACUUCAUCAUAGAAGCACAAGAAGAAUAGACUCUUAUCCUUGUGACAAAGCACGGCAUCAAUGACAUGGUAGAGGAAAUCCUUGAAAAAUUCCCUAAUGUUGCGUCAUUUGAUGAGAAUGGAAGAAAUAUACUACACAUAGUGGCACAGCUGAAAGAUAGAAUUAUCUAUGACCACUUGAAGAAGACUGUUAAUUACGCAGAUAGAAUUAUGGCCGAUGUUGAUAAUCAUGGGAACACUAUUUUGCAUCUUGCAGCCUACAAGUACAAAAAAGAUCAUUUUCCUCGAAAUCUUUUCGGACCUGUAAACCAAAUGUCAUGGGAUGUGUUUUGGUUUAAGGUACUCUCCCUAGGCUCUAUAUAUUAACUUGCAAUACGAGUAGUAGAGAGCUAAGGAUCCUCUACCAUAAUUUUUCUACAAUGAUUUUGUGCU